Molecule: RNA transcript, 2978 nt
Organism: Carya illinoinensis
Lineage: Eukaryota; Viridiplantae; Streptophyta; Magnoliopsida; Fagales; Juglandaceae
Gene name: glycosyltransferase BC10-like
Exons: 12
Source: RefSeq, a predicted model, not a curated record
AAUGCCGAACACGGGGCACUCAGACAGAUGCAACCAGGGGGUGUGGCCCACACGUAACGAGCAAUCCCCAUAGAUUGAAACGGCUGCCAACCCUUCCGCCCUGCCGAGUGCAUACACGUUUGAGUUUGAAGUUGGAUUUGAUCCGCCACUCCGUCUUCACUUCCAUUUCUCCCUGUUAAUUAUUCCCUUUCUUCCGUUCCCCACCUCACACGAAGACACCCUAGUGUUCCCACACAUACAGAGAUUACACAGUACCCAGAGAUGCUUCUCUCUGUUCCACGCCUUCCAUGAGGAGGCUAGGAGGGAUGACGAAGAAAGCCCCACCGCCAAUAGUGGCGCGGCGUGUUAUCUGGUUGAGCUGGAAGCUCGUCGUCUUCCUCUCCCUCGCUCUUUGCGCCCUUGCUCUCCUCAGACUCCACUCUCAGCCCGACCUCUCUUCACCCUCUCCAUCUCGCGUCCGUCCUCGAAUUUCUCACUAUAUCCUCGACCGCCCCUCCAAGAUCGCCUUCCUUUUCCUCGCUCGUACUAACCUCCCUCUCGAUUUUCUCUGGGAUACUUUCUUCGAGUAUGCUGACGUUGCGAACUUCUCGAUCUACAUUCACUCGGCGCCGGGGUUCGUGUUCGACGACUCAACAGCGAAGUCGCCUUUCUUUCGUGGUCGAGAAUUAAAGAAUAGCAUUCAGGUGUUAUGGGGAGAAUCGAGUAUGAUUGAAGCGGAGAAGUUGUUGCUUGACGCAGCUCUCCAGGAUCCAGCGAAUCAAAGAUUUAUCCUACUCUCUGACAGUUGUGUUCCCCUGUACAACUUUAGCUUCAUAUACAACUAUUUGAUGGCUUCUCCAAGAAGUUUUGUGGACAGCUUUCUUGAUAUGAAAGAAGGCCGCUACAACCCAAAGAUGUCACCUGUAAUACCGAAGGAGAAAUGGCGAAAAGGGUCCCAGUGGAUUGCUUUAGUUCGAAGCCAUGCAGAAGUCAUUGUAGAGGACGAGGCUAUUCUUUCAGUAUUUAAGAAAUUUUGCAAGCGACGCCCCCCUGUAGAUGCCAGCAAGGGAAAGCUGAAUAUUAAUCUUCAGAAGCAACAUAACUGUAUUCCAGAUGAACACUACGUGCAGACAUUGCUUGCGAUGAGUGAUCUUGAAGGUGAACUUGAACGAAGAACAUUGACCUAUACCCUAUGGAAUCAGUCUGCUACAAAAAUGGAGAAGAAAGGCUGGCAUCCAUUUACAUUCAACUUUGCAAAUGCUGGCCCUAAACAAAUCAAGGAAAUAAAGGACAUCAACCAUGUGUACUAUGAGACGGAGUUUCGGAUAGAAUGGUGCCGUAGUAAUUCUACGCUCGUUCCCUGUUUUUUGUUUGCAAGGAAAUUUUCCCAGGGAGCUGCCAUGCGCCUCUUGAGUGAUGGAGUGGUUGGUCGCUCUGAUGCUACUGAACUGCUAGACUCACUCCCAUGAUUCAUAACUUUCUCAUGGUUCUCUAACAAUCAAGUGACACAUUUAGAGAUUUAAUUUGGGCAGCAAUCAUUGAACCCUAAAAAUGGGGCCAGCAAGUGGAAUGCCCACUGAGUUUACAGAUACUAUACAUGACACACAGGACAUAUUUUGAUACUCUAGAGACCAAAAGAAUGGUAGCUGCUGCUGAUCAAGUUAGUUCCAGAGAAGACAAGUAGUAGGAUCGAAGUCAAGGGUUCGAGGCCAUCAUGCGCCGCUUCCCACCGGGAGAUUAUUGAGCAUUUUUAACUUGAAAGCAUUAUCUUACCACCUUUGAUUCAUUGCAUUCUUUACAAGGGAAUUUUCCCCCACGACUCAAAGGCUCAGAAAACAAGCCAAAGUAUGGAGAGACCAGCCCGACUGGACGGCCCCUCGACUCGUUAGGGGCGCCUAGCCCAAAGCUGAGGUCAACCCAUGGUCACAAUCAGGCAAGAAAUUCCAAAAAGUAAAGGAGACACAUGUCUUCCCGACACUCCCUAUCACAACUCCUAGAAGGAUUGUCCGGAACCACACCUCGACACGGCUCUUGGAGGGUCAGGAUAGUCACAUGGUUAGCCUGCUUAUAUGCCUUAGCUCAUGCCCUAACAUGCAACGGGCGUCUAUGAAGGCUAUUGGCUGUGCGCAGUCUAUGCGUGCAUGUAUGCACAUUCCCUUGAGAAGUACCUGUGUGCAUGCAUGCCCGCCUGAGCACCACUUAGCGAAGUUAGUGGCGUGCCCUCACAGAUACACCAUCUAGCGCACGGCUCCAGUUCGUGCCUUGCAGAAUCCAGCGCACAGUUCCAGCCUGUGCCUUGCGGCUCCAGUGCUCAGACUAUCAACUUGGGCCCAUGCAUGCCCAUUGCCUAGGCCACCAGCUCGGGCCAUGUAGGACCACUGUCCAAGCUACUUGAUUGAGCCUCAUAGCAGCAGCACAACACCAUCCUGUGCCCACCAUCAGACAUAGGUUUGGCACCAUGCCAUGCUACCAUCAGCAGGCCACGUACAACUCCAUACCGUGCCCACCACCAAACCAACGCAUGACACCAUGCCAUGCCAUGUAGCCAUGCCAUCUAGCAGACUCAUGUGUGGCACCAUGCCACGCCUAGCAACAAGCCAUGCACGGCCCCAAGCACUGCCAACCAUCAAGCCAUGCAUGGCAUCAUGUCGUGCACACCAUGAGUUACCAUGGCCCAUCGAUGGGCUGUAGCAUGCCACAGGCCACCAUGGCCCGUCCAUCAUUAUGUUAUUGCUUUUAAUUAAUUCAUUUAUUUAAUUUAUUUUGCUAGGGACCUUUUGGAGGUUUCCAACUUGUAAGCUCUAUAAAUAGGACUCUUAGUCAUUUCACUUACAUCUUUUGGCAAUUACCCUAGAGGAAGAUUAUCCGUUUUGGAGAUCAUUGUUCGGUGCCUUUGCACUUUGGCUUUUUGGAUGAAAUUUGUGGAUCCCAAGAAAAGAAUCAUCACCUUGCAUUCAUUGAAUAUGUGAUUCAAUUUAUCAAUUUAUGAGGUUUUCUUU